ACAAGAGAAAUGUGAUCUUCUGGUACAGGGAACUCAAAAGGGGUGACGAAGCGAGAAAGGGUCAUAUGCAAAAUUGAACUGGUGCAGGCAGAUCAUUGAAACCAACUAUUUGGGGUUUUGACCUGAGGGUUCUUUGUCUCCUCCUGUCCCCCACGCCCCGCCUCCGUGGAGGAAAUGCGGAUGUGAAGAAGCGAUCUCUUCCCACAGCAGUCAGGCAUUGACUGCGGGCCGGUGCUCGCCCCCUACCUCAGUGGCCAUGUUCCGGGGGCGCUGACUGCUCCGAGCCCGCCGCGGGGCCCGUCGAGGAGGGAUGUUGGCUCUGCUGACUCCGGGAGCAGGUUGGGAAGACAAACGGAUUCUAAGACUGGCCAGUGAAGUAGGAGGAGACCUGAAGGAGAGUGGUAUCCUGGAGCCAAGAAGUGGAGUGGGAGGCAAGUUUCCAUAAGAAUUCACAGCUACCCCAAGAGAAACUGCCGAUACUGGGAUUCUUAGCUGCAGUGCAUUCCUGUCAUGAGGACAGCCACCAUGCUGGAAGCCCGGCAGAAUUCACAAAGAACCCCUGUUCUGAGAAUGGUUCCAAAGGCCCUCUGCAGGAGCAAUUAUCGAAGGACUGACUGCAGGGUCUCACCUCCAAACUGGCAACAAAUUCACCAAUUAUUUCCAACCGUAGCCAACUGGGGGGAAGACUGCAAGGCUUCUAAGUGAUGGAAGUUCUUUAGAGAAGUAAAUAGGCACGAGGAUAAAGGGUAAUGGGUGCUUAUAAAGCAUCAUUAAUCAUGAGAGCCAAAA
This is a long non-coding RNA of Bubalus bubalis (water buffalo), 789 nucleotides long. RefSeq lists it as uncharacterized. The record is from RefSeq and is a predicted model, not a curated record. Lineage: Eukaryota; Metazoa; Chordata; Mammalia; Artiodactyla; Bovidae. The transcript has 4 exons.